RNAcentral lists this ribosomal RNA (395 nucleotides) under uncultured bacterium. Its description in RNAcentral is "bacterial SSU rRNA". It matches the Rfam family "Bacterial small subunit ribosomal RNA", at positions 505 to 898 of the family's 1533-position model. The record is from RNAcentral.
GUGCCAGCCGCCGCGGUAAUACAGAGGUGGCAAGCGUUGUUCGGAAUUACUGGGCGUAAAGGGCGCGUAGGCGGUCCUGUAAGUCCCGUGUGAAAUCCCCCGGCUCAACUGGGGAAUGGCACGGGAGACUGCGGGGCUUGAGUUCGGGAGAGGGAAGCGGAAUUCCGGGUGUAGCGGUGAAAUGCGUAGAUAUCCGGAGGAACACCGGUGGCGAAGGCGGCUUCCUGGACCGACACUGACGCUAAGGCGCGAAAGCUAGGGGAGCAAACGGGAUUAGAUACCCCGGUAGUCCUAGCUGUAAACGAUGAGUGCUGGGUGUGGAGGGUAUUAAACCCCUCCGUGCCGAAGCUAACGCAUUAAGCACUCCGCCUGGGGAGUACGGUCGCAAGGCUGAA